UCUACGGGAGGCAGCAGUAGGGAGUCUUCCACAAUGGACGCAAGUCUGAUGGAGCAACGCCGCGUGAGUGAAGAAGGUUUUCGGAUCGUAAAGCUCUGUUGUUGGUGAAGAAAGAUAGUGAGAGUAACUGCUCAUUAUUUGCCGGUAAUCAACCAGAAAGUCACGGCUAACUACGUGCCAGCAGCCGCGGUAAUA
This 195-nucleotide ribosomal RNA is filed under the name uncultured bacterium. Its description in RNAcentral is "partial 16S ribosomal RNA". It matches the Rfam family "Bacterial small subunit ribosomal RNA", at positions 338 to 525 of the family's 1533-position model. The record is from RNAcentral.